This is a long non-coding RNA of Triticum dicoccoides, 3162 nucleotides long. RefSeq lists it as uncharacterized. Lineage: Eukaryota; Viridiplantae; Streptophyta; Magnoliopsida; Poales; Poaceae. The transcript has 2 exons. The record is from RefSeq and is a predicted model, not a curated record.
UCUUCUGCAUUCCUCACAUUCUUUUGUGAAUAAUAUGAACUUUGAUUAGUUUUCAAGCAUAAAUUGAUGCCAACUUACCAAAUUGACCUCAGUGUCACUGCUAGGUAUCAAAAUGAUUACAUUUAUGUUUAGAAAACAUAUUUGUGUUUGUGAAAUGCUUAUGAUUGAUACUAUGUUUUUACUUGUUAAAUGUUUAUAUGAUGGAAAAUGCAGUCAUAGUUCAUAUAAUUUUUUUCUUUGUUAACAUGAAAAAUACUUGCAUCUUGUUUAAAUAGAUAAUAUGUUUAUAGCUCGAUUUCUAUGUAUCUUGUGCAGAUGCUUAUGACAUGUGUGGCCUAUUUCCUAGUGACAGUACAAACAUGUUAGCAGAGUUUUGUGUAGUCAACAAAAACCACCGUUUCCUGUUAUGUACAAACUCUUCUCUUUUUUGAUUGGUGUAUCUGUUCGUUUUAUCCUCUGCUGAUAAUACUUAGUAGCAUUUACUUGCAUCUUGAAGUGGGAAAGCCAAUGCUACUGCGGUUUUAGUACUUCUUCUAUAUCAGCAUAUGGCUAACUCUGUUUGCUUCUAUAUCUUGUGCUUAUAUAUUAUAUCUGUUUUGGUGUGUGUAUGUGCCCACAUGCCUUUCUUGUUGCAUGCCCUCAGGGAAUCCUUUCUUGUUGCAUACCCCGACGGAGAGGAGACAGUGAUGAUGAGGCUCAAAAAGAUGAUGAUGAUAGAUGAUGAGGCCUUGAGGGUGUAUUGGAAACCUGUUGUUCUUUCUAUUCAGUUCAAGUAAUUGAGUUACAAAUAUAGUAUAUUUUUCAAAGUAGAUGUUCUAACAUAAAUAUAAAAUCUCAACCUGCUUACACUAUGUUUUUAAACUAAGCAUUGCGUGUUCAUCUGCUGAAGCAAUGUAUUUUACUUUUUAUUGAGUUGAAGUCAGCCAUUUCAUAUUAAGCAAACAGUGAUAGGAUCAGUUCCUUACCUGGUGCAACACUAUAUGUACCUACUCUGGGUCAUCUUUAUCUGUCGUACAUUUGAGGUAUAUUUGCCAAUCAAUUCCCAUUUUUAAUAUCUACUUAUUUCUAUACCACAGCUCUACCUUUAUGGUUUAUAUUCUUGAUCUUCUCAUCCCUCAUAUUCACCUCUUCCUAAAUGAUUUGGCACUCCUUAAUUAAUGUAUGUAAUUUAUUGUUUGGUUUAGUAUUCCUUGCCUUUUGCUUAGAACAUUUUCAUCUAUGUACAAAAGCUAGCAUCUGAUGUCAACUCAAAUCUAUAUUAUCUUAUAGGUUAAUGGUUGGUUAUAAUGUUUAGCUAGAUUCUUGGUGGAGCUAGCGGAGAGAGCGGGGAGGGAGGGCAAAAGCAGGGCACUUGGAUGUUGGAUGUUGUAGUCGCAGAAUAGGUGGGCCUUCAGAGCCUAUGAAACAGGGGAGAGAUUUGUAGGAGUAGCUCCGAAACUGCCUAGAUGCAGCAUCAAUUUGGUUUCAGGCUUUUAGCCUGUUGGGACCAUCCCCCUCCCCCUCUCCCUGUCUCUCGCCUGUUCCUCUCACCUCCAGGCUCCACGGACUUGGCCCCAGCCUGACUCAGGAGUGCUGGUGAUCACGCCCUCUCUCUCUUUCCACCGCCUCCCCUGCCACGCUCGAUGGCUAUGGCGCAGUAACUAGGACGCGUCCUACAGCCCGUUGAUCGAAAAAAAUGAGUUCAACACCGCAAUAACCUCAAUCGCGGGCUACCUCCCAUCUUACAAGAUCUACAAUUCAAUCUGCAUAAUGCGACGUGUUUCCAUAUGCCUCUCAUUCUCACAACGGGUUGCACCAUUCCAACCCAUUGUAAUUGUGUCUGCUCUCUUGCUUUCUCUCCCCGAAGCCCCGACACGGUUCAUGUUAAUUUGGUUGCUACUACCGCCGUGCUAAGAUACUAGUUAAGGGGGUUACAAGAAGAAGACUACAUAUAUAGGCAGUGCGUCCUUUAUAAGGGCGUGUGAUGCUUAGGCGGGGGAAGGUUGGUGAGCAAAUUAGUUAUCAUCCUUUAAUUGUUACCUAGUCCUGAAAUCUGUGACUAUAACGUACCUGAGCUUUAAAUACCUUUUCUCCAUGGAGGCUUGGCCACUUAUGUGUGUGCUCUGCUCCAUUAUCACCAUCUCACCCUAGCCUCAACCCCAACACUGACUUGCCAAGCUGGUGGGAGAUGCUGCUUUCGGAGCUUGUACUGAAGAACAAAGUCAUUAUCAGCAUUAUAGCCUCACACACCAUCUCAUACCACCCAGAAGGCUGUCCAGCACAUCAGUGGCAUUAUUAUCCGUUAAAUUUGUCACCAAGUCCAGCACCCAUGCAAAUCAUGAUCAUCAAAGCCAUUAUCACCAUCACCAUGGUUAUGAAGGCAAUAGGCAUUCGACUCCUGCACCAGCUCUUAACAAAUUUUCCUUUGCAUACACACAUAUACGUUGCUCCACCUCCAUCUGGGUGUCCAAAUGGCAACAAGCCAAAGAACAAGGUGUAGCCAAUGAUCACUGACCUACUUAUCCCACCGCUUCGCUGCCUCAUCCAUUAUCACCUUCUGUUCUUUAUCCUCCACGUGAUCCCAACAUGCACAGUAGAUCUACCGUUUUGUCCCCUCCGAUUCUUCCGGAGCCGCAUUUGGCCAUGUAGUCAUGCACACUCUCUAAGUGAGCGUGCAACAAGAACCUGUCUAUCUACUGGAAUGUCGCAUAUGGCCCCUGCAUCGCAUUCACCUAAUGCUAGCUAGCCGGAGCCUCUCCUGUCACUGGCUCUUGGUAUCCCUCACAUGUGCCUUGCUUUGGAGCCUACUAUGAUGAUGAGAACCCACGGCUAACAAGACGAUUUGAAAUAGAGAUUUUCCAAGAUAGAGAACAAGGCACCUCUUGGUUUUCUUCCUCUGUUUACUACAGCCGGCCGGGCAGGCGGUGAAGUGCAAUGCAGCGUCCCUCCCUUCGUCAGGCGUGCUUUUGUGUUGUUUGUUAUAUGUACUUGUUAGUGGGAUGUAAAUAUGGAUGGGUAUAAGGCAAGUAAGCAAGGCAAAGAAUGGGCAAGCAGCUGUGCUUGUAGUGGUCAAAGCCACAAUGGUGGCAAGCCGUUCACAUGCAUAUGCUUGGCCAGGUUUGCCAUGUACUGCUGUUGUUCAGAAGAGGAUUGUUCAAAUGUAAAAGCUUUCUUUUUACAUUA